UACGAAGGGUGCAAACGUUGCUCGGAAUUAUUGGGCGUAAAGCGCACGUAGGCGGCUUUGCAAGUCGGAUGUGAAAUCCCUCGGCUUAACCAAGGAAGUGCAUCCGAAACUGCAGAGCUUGAGUACUUAAGAGGAUCGCGGAAUUCCCGGUGUAGAGGUGAAAUUCGUAGAUAUCGGGAGGAACACCAGUGGCGAAGGCGGGUCUCUGGGCAGUAACUGACGCUGAGGAGCGAAAGCGUGGGGAGCGAACAGG
RNAcentral lists this ribosomal RNA (253 nucleotides) under uncultured bacterium. Its description in RNAcentral is "partial 16S ribosomal RNA". It matches the Rfam family "Bacterial small subunit ribosomal RNA", at positions 524 to 776 of the family's 1533-position model. The record is from RNAcentral.